GUCCGACAAGUUCGACAGGACUGGUAGCUUCCUGGGCAGGGAAGGGAGCCAGACCUGGUGGGAGGUGCCAGGAUUCCCCACCCUGAUCUGGUGGUGGAGCUGCCCACCCCAUCCCACCCCACUGGUCAUCAGCUGGUGCCAUCAGACCCUGCCUCCUCACCUCCAGGGGGAAGAUGGUAAGAGGACCAAGUAUCAAGUGGCAAUCACCCACCCAGUCAUCUCUCCGGAAUCCCAGAGCUGCACCUCCAUGGCCCCAGGGCUCCGCAUCCCACAAAACUCAGUGUCUUCCCUCUGAGCCGGCACUCCUGGGUUCCACCAUCUGGGCAGAGGCUGGGAGCCGUGUCCCCCGCUCCUUCCCCUUCACUGCUGUCCUCUCUGAAUCCCACCCCCUCCUGCCCCUGAAUCUCUCUGCCCCGUCCCUUCCAGUCCAUCCCCAGCAGAGGCCCAUCCUCCCCAUACCCCUCACGUGGCCUCCCUCCAGCCUUGUCCCCUCCAGUCCGUGGAUCCCCAUGUGGCCCCUGGGUCUAUGUUCAGAGCUGCCCCUGCCCUGCUCGCAGCCCUCGAUGGCUCCCCAUUGCCCUCAGGAGACAUCCAAGAGAACUUUGAGAACCGAGUGGCCUAGACUCACCCCUUCUCCCCCUCCACUUACUCUUUGAAUCCCGUGCCAUCCUCGUGCCCCAUCUCCCCUCCCAGCCUUUGCAGGCGCAGUUUUCUCUGCCUGGAAUGCUCUCGCUCACUCCCUGCCUGCUUGCAACCUGGCAAAACCACAACUUGUCCUUCAGGUCUCACCUUAUUAAAACCAUAAUAAUUACCACUUAUCAUGCAUGAGGAACCAUGCAAAAUGCUUCCUGGGCAUUAUCGGGCUGAACCCUUCCAAACACCCUAUGAGCUGGGUGUUGUUAUCGUCAUUUUACAGGCCGGGGGACUAUGGCUCAGAAAGGUCAAAGGACCUGCCAGUGUUUGCACAGCCAGAGGGAGGAGCUGGGCUUCAACCCAGGAUGGUCCAACUGCUCACUCCCUCCAAAAGCUUCUCCUACCAUCCCAUGCUGGGCUUUGGGCCUCUGCUCAGCUCCCGGUCCUUGCCAUACUAAUAAAAAUAAUAGCAAUAAAACAAAGAGCAUUUUCUGUGUCAGGUGUAGUUCUGGGGUGCUACAGUAUUUAGCCCUUCAGAACCCCACGGGGUGGGCCUUAUAGCUUACAUAUGGCUACAAAUUGGACUUUCCCUAAGGAAUAGGGUCCAUGUCUGCUCCCCUUCAAUCAGAGUAGGUGUGACCAAGAGAAGGCCAUGGAAGUGACCCCGUGCCAGUUUCAGCGUCUAGACCUUGAGAGAUUGGCAGAUUUCACUUCCUGUACCACAGAGCACUCCCUCUUGGAACCCAGCUGCCAUGCUGUGAGGAAGCUCAAGCAGUUCCAUCAAGAGGAACCAUGACCCCUGGUCAGCAGCCCCAGCCAGCCUGCAAAACUGAGCCACCCUGGACGUCCAUCCUCUGGCCCCACGUGAGCCACCCAACUGAUGCUGCAUGGAGAGGCAGGCUGUCCUUGCCAUGCCCGGCCGGAAUUUCAAAUUUAGGAGCAAAAUAAGUGAUUGUUGGUUUGAGCCACAGGUGUGGGGGCAGGCUGUUAUGCUACAACAGACCAUCAGCACACAGCAUUCUUACCAAGUCCACCUGCCGGAGGAGGAAGCUGAGGCUCGGAGAGAAGGAACUUGCCAAAGGUCCUCCCAGAACCAGGGAUUGGCCAGCCUGGGAUCUGAACCCAGGGCCCCCGGGUCCAGACUCUUAACCACUACACUAAGCUCUUACUAUUUCCAUCAGCCAUAUGAGAAGCUGAAGCUGAGACGGGAUGUAAUACUCUCCAAAUCUCACAUGUGGUUAAUGGAGGGUUUAAAAUCAGGCCCAACUCAUCAUCCCCACGCUGGAUUUUGACUGCUUGCUGCUUGUCUGCCUCCCUGGCCAGAACCAGAGGCUCCAGCCUCAUACCCUCCUGUGUUCUGACUCUCAGCAGGGGCCUGGCACCCCCCAGUCCCCAGCAAGAACUUGGCAGAUGAAAGUCAUCUUCUCUGCCACCUCACUGAUAUUUGUCUUUGAAGAUUCAACCUAGAUGCCAUCUCCCUUGGCAGUCUCUGGCCCCAGGGGCCAGGUCAGGUGCCCUUCAUGGGCUCCCAAGGGCCCAGGGCUACCUGGCUUCCAGCACACAGCUCACAACUGCCUUUGCCUAAGCCCACCCCACUUCAACAUGGAAGCUUCUUGAGGGCAGGGACUGGAUGUGAUUCACCUGAGUCCCUGGUACAGGGCCCAACACACAAGAGGCUUAAGUAAAUGUCUAUUGAAUGAAUCAAAGAACAGGUCUCCGGGGAAUGAGGUAACAGAGACAGUUGCUGGGAGAGGCAUAGUUUUAUUGCUGAGUUCCAGGCAAUGGGCUCAAAUCUGCCCCGUCUUCCGCAGUUUGGCCACCAGGUCUUCCGUGGUCUCCACCUUGACUCCAGCCGUGCGCUGGGGCGGGUCCUCCACGGUAACCACAGAGAGCUUAGAGGUCAGGUCCACGCCCAGGUCUCCGGGCUUGAUCACCUCGAUCUUCUUCUUCUUGGCUUUCUGCACACGGGCAGCCAUGGUUCACAGGGCUGCCAAGGCCCUGCCCAUCCUGCAGCCGCCUUCCCACAACUGCGACAUCUGCAGAGCCACUCCCACUGGCUGAACCCUCUCGACCUAACCACUGGCCAGGACACAGGCGGCCUCCUGUAGGGCCACACCGGGACAAUUCCUGGUGGCUGGGGCGUCCUGGGAAGCCCUCCUAUUGCAGGAGCCCUCCUUCAGCCAGUGGCCUCAGGAAGCCCCUCACUGGCGGGAAUGGGCUGGCAACUCGGCCUUUUGGCAGAAUCACUCCAUGGACUUUCUGGUAAGUUGACCCGCUGAACCUGCCUAUUGGCUGAGAUGACCCACUGAACCCGUCCUAUUGGUUGGGAAUGACACACCGAACCCUCCCUAUUGGCUGAGAUAACAUACCGAACUCUCCCUAUGAGCCCAUCCUACAGGCCAUCAUAAAUAGUGAGCUCUUCCCGUUAGCCAGGAGACUCCAUGACCCUUUCCUAAUUACCCACCAUGACCUAAAUGAUUCCCUCUUGUUGACAAAGAUUAUCAGGGGAAUCCCCCCAGUGAACCAAGACGACCUAAUAAACCCUUCUCCUUUGGUCAGAAUUACCCUAUGAACUUUUCCCAUUGGUUGGAAUGAAGGCUUCCUGUUGGCCCAAACAGCCCCCAGACCCUCCCUCUGGGCAGAAAUGACUCAGUAAACCCCCCGUUAGCCAGAACGACCAGGGGAUCCUUUCUUGGGAUGAGGAACCCCUUGGGCCCUCUGCCUCCCACCUGACCACCAGGGAGCCACUGGGCCUGCGAUGCACCCCCAGUUCCCAGCCCUGCAGGACCCGUGUGCCAAGCGCUCACCAUGAUGUUGGGCAGCGUGGCGUAGCGGGGCUCGUUGAGCCGCAGGUCGGCGGUCACCACCGCGGGCAGCUUCAGGCGCAGCGUCUCCAGGCCCCCGUCAAUCUCCCGCUCCACUUUCACCUUGUCCCCUUCCAGGGUCACCUGGGAGGCGAAUGUGCCCUGGGGAGGGACAGUGGAGUGAGUGUAGGGAGGUUAAGUCAGGGCAGGCCCCCACGUGCCACUGCUGAGCACCCGCGUGGAGGAGCCAACAGGCUUAGGAACGGGACCUGCUGACACCGAGCUCAAAGACGGGGGAAGCCACAGAAAGGGAGUAAAUCAAAGUUGAGGGAAGGGUGUCGUUACUUUCACUGGGAGCGAGGUACAGUCCUAACAUCUGAACCUGCCAUGUAGGUUCCUACCUGUUACAAUUGACCUUAAUGGUAACUACACGUAUUAAGUCAUGAGAUCCUCAUAGGAACUCCAAAGUAAAUGCUGUCAUCCCCACUUUACAGAUGAGGAAAACGGAGGCAGAGAGAGGCUUGAAAUGUUCUCUCUGCCAAAAAUAUGCUGGUGAAUCCCAAAGCUGGCAGCACGGCCCUAGGCUCCACGUCCAGCUUCACGACCAUCACUCUGUCCCCAAGAACAACCCCGAGGCCCCUCUGCUGGGCCGAUGACAGAGCCUCUGUGCUCACCUUCACCCCAGAAAUGUGCUCUGGGACGCCAUCGUCUGGGCUCAGUGCCCAUCUCCGGCCAAGGCCCCUCUGCCCCUCUGUCCCAGUCCACCUCCUGACAUGUCUACGCCCUUUGCCCACCCAUCCUGUUCUCUCCAGUCCCUCACUGGAUAAACCUUCAAGUCUUAGGUGACAUGUUCCACCAUUCCCAGUCUCAUGUGAGGGCCUGAGGGCCGAGCUCUGGGACUGCACGGUGAGCGUGACCAGCAAGGCCCCGGCAGGAAGACCGCCAGAAACCAGGCAAACGCACGCCAGCCGCUAACGUGUGGCUUCUGAGCACAUGGAAUGUGGCUAGUGAAUCGAGGGAUGGAAUUUUUCAUUCCAUUUAAUUUAAACUUAAAAACCAGUAAGUUAAAAAAAAAA
Non-coding RNA from Manis javanica (Malayan pangolin), 4513 nucleotides. The record is from RefSeq and is a predicted model, not a curated record. Lineage: Eukaryota; Metazoa; Chordata; Mammalia; Pholidota; Manidae.